CCCUUAGAUGUUCGGGGCUGCACGCGCGCUACACUGAAGCUAUCAACACGUUUUCCCUCCCUGAGAAGGGCGGGUAACCUUUUGAAUCAGCUUCGUGGUAGGGAUCGGGGCUUGCAAUUGUUCCCCGUGAACCAGGAAUUCCUAGUAGACGCGAGUCAUAAGCUCGCAUCGAUUAAGUCCCUGCCCUUUGUACACACCGCCCGUCGCUACUACCGAUUGAACGUUUUAGUGAGGCAUUUGGACCGACGCAUCUCAGUUUAACCGCUGGUUUGUGUUGGAAAGACUUCCAAACUUGAGCGUUUAGAGGAAGUAAAAGUCGUAACA
This 324-nucleotide ribosomal RNA is filed under the name uncultured eukaryote. Its description in RNAcentral is "partial 18S ribosomal RNA". It matches the Rfam family "Eukaryotic small subunit ribosomal RNA", at positions 1470 to 1796 of the family's 1831-position model. The record is from RNAcentral.